UUAAUUUGAAGCCAAAAAAGAGGCAUCUUAAUGUUAAUAAGAAAAUUGAUAUAAAUUAUCCAAUUAAA
RNAcentral lists this transfer RNA (68 nucleotides) under Batracomorphus extentus. RNAcentral's name for it is "tRNA-Asn". Lineage: Eukaryota; Metazoa; Arthropoda; Insecta; Hemiptera; Cicadellidae. The record is from RNAcentral.